GACGAACGCUGGCGGCGUGCUUAACACAUGCAAGUCGAACGGAGUGGCGAACGGGUGAGUAACCCGUGGGUGACCUGCCCUGUACUUCGGGAUUAGCCUGGGAAACUGGGUCUAAUACCGGUUAGUGGGGGAUGGGCCCGCGGCCUAUCAGCUUGUUGGUGGGGUAAUGGCUGACCAAGGCGGCGACGGGUAGCCGGCCUGGGAGGGUGGACGGCCACAUUGGGACUGAGACACGGAGCAGACUCCUACGGGAGGCAGCAGGGGGGAAUAUUGCACAAUGGGGGGAAGCCUGAUGCAGCGACGCCGGGUGGGUGAUGACGGCCUUCGGGUUGUAAACUCCUUUGACCAUCGACGCGGUAGAUGGAGAAGAAGCACCGGCUAACUACGUGCCAGCAGCCGCGGUAAUUC
Molecule: ribosomal RNA, 408 nt
Filed under: uncultured bacterium
Lineage: Bacteria
Description: partial 16S ribosomal RNA
Rfam family: Bacterial small subunit ribosomal RNA
Source: RNAcentral